RNAcentral lists this ribosomal RNA (183 nucleotides) under uncultured Thauera sp. RNAcentral's name for it is "partial 16S ribosomal RNA". It matches the Rfam family "Bacterial small subunit ribosomal RNA", at positions 1199 to 1382 of the family's 1533-position model. The record is from RNAcentral. Lineage: Bacteria; Pseudomonadati; Pseudomonadota; Betaproteobacteria; Rhodocyclales; Zoogloeaceae.
CCCUUAUGGGUAGGGCUUCACACGUCAUACAAUGGUCGGUACAGAGGGUUGCCAAGCCGCGAGGUGGAGCCAAUCCCUUAAAGCCGAUCGUAGUCCGGAUCGUAGUCUGCAACUCGACUACGUGAAGUCGGAAUCGCUAGUAAUCGCAGAUCAGCAUGCUGCGGUGAAUACGUCCCGGGUCUU